This is a non-coding RNA of Lolium perenne, 3876 nucleotides long. NCBI's taxonomy places the organism in Eukaryota, Viridiplantae, Streptophyta, Magnoliopsida, Poales, Poaceae. The record is from RefSeq and is a predicted model, not a curated record.
UUUGUGUUUCCGGUCCAUAAGUUGGACUCUUCUGAAACUUUUCUAAUUAGUGCAAUAGCUGAUGAGAAUAGUGCGGACAAGGGACUCAGUAAUAACAAAGCCAAGUAAUGUAGUAGUUCAACUCGGUUUUUAUUUUUUGUAAUUUUCUUAUAUUUUGGUAACAAAGUGUAUCCUCUUGAAUAUGGAAGAGUUGUUUUGAUUAAUCGGAAAAGAGGUAUUUGUUCAGUUAUAACUAUGUUUGCAGACGUUUUAUGAGGCAAUAAUCUACACUACUUAAAAAGGAGGAAUGUGUUCCCUAUUCUGCCCACCUUCACACUAGGACCAAGUUUUGGUCGUCAACCCCGACUCCCGUUGCUGUGCAUUUUGAACUUUGGUCCCUUGCACAUUGGGAAAUUAAUCCACACAGCCCCCACCCCCGACGUUUUUCAUCGCUUUGCAGUUCUCUGGAUGCCGAGAGGCGAACAGAGCUAGGGUUUCGCUGCCUACCCCCAUCCGCCGCCAGCAAUCCCUUUCUCUUCCCCGGGCGGUAGCCACCGUUCUCCAUCGCUACACCACGUGCGCCGGCGCCACCACCCGACACCGUGGUCGUCUCCCGCAGAGACUGGGGCGAGGAGUCUCAGUAGUGUUAAGAGAUGGUUGGCUGGGAAAAGGAGAUAGCCACCAGUCUCGCAACUCACAUGUGAUGCCGCCUGCCGCCGCCUCGUAUGUUCCUCCCCUCAUGCUUCCCCUCCUCACACGCAACCUCGCCGCCGCCGCCGCUCCACCGGCCUCGCUCGUCUCCUCCCGGCACCCUUCCACCUCUUUCCCCGUCGCCCUCACCUCGUCUAUAUUGUGCCUCGCCGUCAUAGAGCGGGGAACUCGCCACCGACCUCCCAUGGUUGAAGGUCAAGCGGCUGAAGCGGCUGCGGGAGGGGGGUGAAGAGGACCAGGCUCCUUCCUAUUGGCGGCGGGGAGCAACAUAGCCAUCCGUGAGGCACCGGCCCUAGCAGGGAAACACCGCUUCUGUGAAGGCAAAGCAUUGACGCCGAUCUGGUUGUCGGAGAAUGGCUCCCUCCAUCACAGCGAUCACUUUUAUUGGGCGCCGACGCUGUUAUGAGUGGCAACAUCUGUCUUGCAUGUGUAGUCACGACUCACGAGGUGCAAGCAUGCAGCUGUGGCCAUAAGGGGAGCUCGGCUCCUCACUUACGUGGAGAUGCCUCAUCUGCAUCUCUGACCAUGUCUGACCCUGUAAGUCUUCAUUUGCCUAAUUAAUAUGUAGUCAUGUCUGUUAACCAUGCAAAUAUUAUCAUGCAUUCACAUUAGAAAUCAGAGGGUAUAAUUGUGCGUGAGGGGGAGACUACUUGUCUGGUUCAUUUGGCUUGCUGAAUGGCAAAUUUAAUCUCUACAACUCGUGUGAGAAUCAUGGCCUUCGCGCAUCCACAAUUGACUUCUUUCUUGAUUUGGUGAGGACGAUCUCAUUUGUUGCUUCCCAGAUUUCUUAAAACUCCAAAAGUUUGAGUUUUCAUCGAUUAUUGGUUCUUCUUUUGAGGAAUUAAUUUAAGGUCGAAAUGGUUUAUAAGAGACACCACAGUAGGAGGCACCUGGUAUGUUUACUCUUUUGUAGGUUCCCUGUCACACGAUUAUUUGGUAUGCUACAAAUAUGGUCGGCUGGUUUAGUUGAAUUAGCAGCGACAUUCAGUUUUUUGCUUGUACAGUUGCCACAAUUGCAGUAUAGCAGAACACUAAAAGAAUUAUAUUAUUUGAUAUAUUUUGUUCUGAUUCAUGUAGUAUUGCAAGACAAUAAACGAAAAGCUGAGUUUUACAUAUCCCCAACCAAUUUAACUUUCAGCAGACUAUAAUAUUUUUCCAGUGCAAGUUUACCAUGUCAUCCUAUUGCCCCUGAAAUUCAUGAUGGUUCUACUAUUUUGAAAUGUUUUCAUCUUGCUUCUGCAGGUUAUUGUUUCUUGCCAGAAUGCCAGUAGGAAACUCUGAAACUGAUGUAGUAGGACUGUCUUAUUCUCAACCGAGAGGAUAACUUCCUUUCAUGAGCUAGAAAUGAUUGUGACUUCCGAGUAUGCAUAUCUAAAGCUGACAUUUUAAUUGCAUGACAGGUUACUGCAACUAGCAAGGAAAGUGUCAUGUUCAUACUAUUUUGCUUUUUUUUGUGAUAAUUGCAGUAGGUUAUGUUCUUAUGAUGGUAAUUUUAGAUAACACGAAGAUUGAGAUAGUCCAUUGAUCUUUCAGUUACACACUAUAAAUUUAUAAACUGAAGUUACAUGCUAUUAUGUACUUGUAUCAUUGAAGUGUUUGUUUAGUCAGUGUAUAGGGACUGGAUGAUCCGACAAGGAGCAAAUAUAAACCUUUCUUAUGUGGUUCGUUGAUUCUUGUGAUCCCUUCUGAACUGCUGAUGGAGUUUUCUACCGCAGUUAAUACAUCUUCAAUGACUUCAGUACGACUUUCUGCACAGAGCCAUUUAUAAUGCCAUCUUCUGGGAAUGUUGACAUAUUCUGCUGUGAUAAUACUGGGACAUUCCAUCGAAUGAUAUGGACACCUUCAAAGAAAAUUAUGCGUACCAGGAACCCAUCAAGAAGGGAGUGUAGUUCAAUUCGGCAUCUACCUCUGCCUCUGAACCAUGGAGUGAAUUUGGCACCCACCUCCUUCUGAAGCAUCCAUCGGCUGAAAAAAGUGGUACACCAGAUGUGGCGGGGGAGGGUCAGUGCAAGAUGGAAAGACAUGAGGUUUUUCCUGUGAUGGUCUUAUGAAGUGUAUGGAAUUUUCAGUGACUUGGUGCCUGUGUUAUGAUUCUUUAUUUUAUGGUAGUCUUUAUCUGAUUUUAUUUUUGUUCAUUGAUUAUAAUGACCUAUGGGGGAUUGUUCAUGGACGUUCUGACUCCUUAGAGUUCAGGUCAUUUUGUGUACAAGAAGUUUAAUAAUUUGCAUCCUGCAGAUCAAAUGGUGACAUGUGAUCCUACCAUUCCGCACUGUAAGUCUGACACAAAUGGUUGAAGGUCAAACGUUCACAAUUGGUAUGUACUGCAUUCUAUGUAUUGAUGUAUAUGUUUCAAGUUCUAUUUCCAAACAAUUUCCCUUAUAUUCCUUUAAAGUAUGAUAUACUGGAAUUCUCAGUGGUUUGACUAUGAUUGACAAUGUGUCAUUUUUCAGAAGAUAAAACAUUGCUUUUUAAGGAAGUCUUUAUGUUUUGGUAAUUAAGCUUUAUAUUUAUAUGUAGUCCUAGACGUUUUUUUUACUUUUAUCUUAAGUAGAAAUGUAUGUGUCUUAAAAGUUCAGAUGAAGUUGACAUUCUCUUUGGAUUUUUUGCAGACCUAUUACUUAUAAUGGACAAAGCAGAGUGUGUUAGAUGGGAGAAUGGAUGGACUACUAUCAUUCGGAUGGCACCUGGGCGACACAGUUUGAGCAUAUUGUGCUGGUCACUAGGAUGGGCACAGAAAUAUUGACGGAGCCUUGAGUUUAUAUCAUGCGGAUUGUAGUAAAGAGUUUGCUGGGCCAUCUAUUUUCAGAAUGGGUUGUGCCAAGAGCUCUCUCAUGUUUCUCUGGCCAUUAGGCAUUAGUGCAUCAGUGUCGAGGUUGCUCGCAUAUGGGACUACUGCAGGACCUGUGAUGAUCAGACAGCAAUCAACCUCAAUCUUGUGUUGGUUGACGAUAAGGUGUUGUUCUCCUAUAUAUACUGUGUGGUGUUGUGAACCCUUCAGAGCAAGUUGAGUUCAGUAAUUUAUCCUUUUCUGGGACGGUUUAAAUUUGAUUUUUCGGUUUGAUUUUACCUCAUAUUAUGAUGCUUCAUCAACAUAUGUUUUGUCAACUUAUGUUGCACAUUAGAGUCUGUCAUACUGCCAAUUAUGUUGUGUUUCAGAUAACCAGGUGUUCUUCUGUUCUGAGUUUA